GCAAGUCGAACGAACUCUUCGGAGUUAGUGGCGCACGGGUGCGUAACGCGUGGGAAUCUGCCCUUGGGUACGGAAUAACUCAGAGAAAUUUGUGCUAAUACCGUAUAAUGUCUUCGGACCAAAGAUUUAUCGCCCAAGGAUGAGCCCGCGUAAGAUUAGCUAGUUGGUGGGGUAAAAGCCUACCAAGGCGACGAUCUUUAGCUGGUCUGAGAGGAUGAUCAGCCACACUGGGACUGAGACACGGCCCAGACUCCUACGGGAGGCAGCAGUGGGGAAUAUUGGACAAUGGGCGAAAGCCUGAUCCAGCAAUGCCGCGUGAGUGAUGAAGGCCUUAGGGUUGUAAAGCUCUUUUACCCGGGAUGAUAAUGACAGUACCGGGAGAAUAAGCUCCGGCUAACUCCGUGCCAGCAGCCGCGGUAAUACGGAGGGAGCUAGCGUUGUUCGGAAUUACUGGGCGUAAAGCGCGCGUAGGCGGUCUUUUAAGUCAGAGGUGAAAGCCCGGGGCUCAACCCCGGAAUAGCCUUUGAAACUGGAAGACUUGAAUCUUGGAGAGGUCAGUGGAAUUCCGAGU
Molecule: ribosomal RNA, 571 nt
Filed under: uncultured bacterium
Lineage: Bacteria
Description: bacterial SSU rRNA
Rfam family: Bacterial small subunit ribosomal RNA
Source: RNAcentral